ACAUGGAAGAUGGGUGCACCAGAAGCGCCCGGGUUUUGUUCUUGAGGUUUCUCGAGAAUAGAAUCCGGCACCAAGGUGAAACCAUUGACUGGGUCG
This 96-nucleotide ribosomal RNA is filed under the name uncultured bacterium. Its description in RNAcentral is "partial 16S ribosomal RNA". The record is from RNAcentral.